CAAGGUCAGGGCCACCUCGCGGUUCCGGAAGGAUCCCCCGGAGCCCCCAGAGCGAGGUGGACCGACACUGCCCUUCCUUCCUCCUCUGCAUCCUCAGCCUCACGUCCACGGACCUCACAUCGCCCGCUCCGUCGCUGGACCUCACAUUGUCCGCUCCGUGCCCGGACAUGGCGUCCACCAUCACCCUCCUCCCGGAGAGCAUCUCAUCCGCUCUGUGCCCGGACAAGGCGUCCACCAUCACCCUCCUCUCGGAGAGCAUCUUGUCUGCUCCAUACCCGGACAAGGCGUCCACCAUCCCCCUCCUUUCGGAGAGCAUCUUGUCUGCUCCCUGCCCGGACAAGGCGUCCACCAUCGCCCUCCUCUCGGAGAGCAUCUUGUCUGCUCAAUACCCGGACAAGGCGUCCACCAUCCCCCUCCUCCCGGAGAGCAUCUCAUCCGCUCUGUGCCCGGACAAUGCGUCCACCAUCACCCUCCUCCCGGAGAGCAUCUCAUCAGCUCUGUGCCCGGACAAGGCGUCCACCAUCGCCCUCCUCCCGGAGAUCAUCUCGUCCGCUCCGUGCCCGGACAAGGCGUCCACCAUCACCACUCUCCCGGAGAGCAUCUCGUCCGCUCCGUGCCCGGACAAGGCGUCCACCAUCACCCUCCUCCCGGAGAGCAUUUUGUCACUGCAGGAAUUAGCUUCCAGCCAGAAGCCACGGUUCCCGGGCAGCGUGAGGCGCAGGGAGUUCCUGCCGCCGUCCAUCCGCGAGAGCCUGAGCUCCCUCAGUACCAUCACCUCGGAGGGCUCUGCAUCACUGAAGGAUGAAGGCGAUCAGGUGCAGAUAAUACGGCAGCCUGAGAAAGAAGACGUUGACCACACCGAAGGCUCGGUUUCAGGAGCCCAGGGGCCCGCGCUGGCCCAGCCACCCGAGCGGGGGCUCUUCGCCGCCGUCCCGCCUGUGGAGGACCCCCUAGAAUCCCUCCCGCUCCAGGGCGCGCUGCAGGUCGGAGGCCAGGACGUGUGGUCCAUGAGGGCCCAGCGUGUGCGCCCAGCUCCCACGGACUCCUGGAUGCUGGAGUCCACGGUCCUCACCAUCCCCGGGCAGGUGGAGCUCGACCCGGCCGAGGAGCUGCCCCGCCGGCUCCAGCGCGACAGCCUCGGGCCGCAGCCUGCGCACCGGGUGGCUCCGGGGGCCGUGCCGCUGUCCAGCUGGGGGGCCGAGGGCCUGCCUGCCUUCAAGGGCAGGUACAGGGUGAAGGUGACCCCCAUAGCAAGUGUGGGGCACAGCCAGUCUGCUGAAGAGACCCCCCAAUCUGACACCACCGAGGCCACCGUGAUCAUGAUGCCUGAGGGCUCGGAGCUCCCAGACGGGGCUCCCAAGUCCACUUAGAGCCAGGAAACCGCCCCCCCCGCCAGGACGCCCCUCCCGGUGGGGGGUGCCCGCAGCUCCGUGGCGGGGAUGCUGGGCAGUUGAGGUCCAGCUGCGCCGCCGUGCUCCUAGUGAAAGCAUCGGAGAGGAGAGGGGCCAGGGUCCUCGGCCGCCUCUGGCCGCCGGGAAAGACUUUCAAGGACCCGCAUGUCACUUGUCUCAGAAGCCGUAUUUUAAAGACUUUCCAAGUUUUCUGAACACAUCUGUUAUUCUGGGAAGAAAAAAACAAAUUCGAAAUGGACUGCAGAGAGUGGGUUCACAUCUGUGCAUCUGUUGAUUAUUAAAGCAGACUGUAUGAAUUUAAGGAACUUUUAAGAAAACUCUUCAGAAUUCACUAGCAGGCUUUAUGGGAAAUAAUAAAAAUUAUUCAUGGCAAUAAACC
This 1791-nucleotide long non-coding RNA is filed under the name Sus scrofa (pig). Its description in RNAcentral is "lncRNA (ENSSSCG00055015562.1)". Lineage: Eukaryota; Metazoa; Chordata; Mammalia; Artiodactyla; Suidae. The record is from RNAcentral.